This 349-nucleotide ribosomal RNA is filed under the name Leptestheria dahalacensis. RNAcentral describes it as "partial large subunit ribosomal RNA". It matches the Rfam family "Bacterial large subunit ribosomal RNA", at positions 2036 to 2597 of the family's 2925-position model. Lineage: Eukaryota; Metazoa; Arthropoda; Branchiopoda; Diplostraca; Leptestheriidae. The record is from RNAcentral.
UUGAAUUUCAUUUUUAAGUGAAAAAGCUUAAAUAAACCUGAAGGACGAUAAGACCCUAUAGAGCUUUACUUCAUUAAAAUACAAACAACCUAGAAAUUAAUAUUAUUAUUUGAUAGAAGUUACGUUGGGGCGACGACAAGACAAUAAAUAACUCUUUAUUUUUUAAACAACUAAAAUUGAAAAAUUGAUCCUUAAAGCGAGAUCAAAUGAACAAGUUACCUUAGGGAUAACAGCGUAAUCCUUUUUAAGAGUUCUCAUCAACAAAAGGGUUUGCGACCUCGAUGUUGGAUUAAGAGUUCACCAAGGUGCAGCAGCUUUGGAAGACGGUCUGUUCGACCAUUAAUCUCUU